RNAcentral lists this long non-coding RNA (223 nucleotides) under Elaeis guineensis (African oil palm). RNAcentral describes it as "long non-coding RNA (EGUI_LNC030531)". Lineage: Eukaryota; Viridiplantae; Streptophyta; Magnoliopsida; Arecales; Arecaceae. The record is from RNAcentral.
AUAACAAGCAACAGCAAUGUGCAUUGUGUUAGUGAAAAAAUAAUCAGUCAAAUAAUUAACUAACUUCAGCAGUAACACUAAAAAAUAAUAUGCAAUAAUUAUAAUAAUAUGCAACAAUCAUAAUAAUUUGGGUGCCCUAGUCCGAAUUGGCAUGGAUCGAACCCGACACGACCCACCCCGGCUCCACCCCACCCACCCUAGCCUGACCCACCCCAGCUCCACC